GGAAAAGUGCCCCUUUUGUAGAAGCUAAUGUCGCUGUAAAUACUAAAUUAAAAAAAUAGGUGCCGUUUUUGUGUGGAAAUUUACAAUUUUUUUUUAAAAAUUAGGUCACAAACAUAAAUUUCGGUAUGAUACGACGGAAAAUUUUCCUCAGGAGAAAUUUCUCCCCCCUCCCCCGUCGACAACAUUUCCGGGAAAAAUUUUUUAGGUGCCCUUUCCGAUAGUAAUGUGCCCCUACAAGCCGGUGCCCCCCAAACUCCAGGUGCUUCCUACGCCCCUGGAGCCAACAGAGACUGCAGUACACGUAUUAUUUGAUCGCUACCUGUUUUUCGCUGCGGAACAUCAUGAAAAGCAAAUUUUAUGGUUGAUAUAUCUGUUAGAACUGGUAGAAAAGAUGACUGUCCGAGGACGAACUAUUCAAAACGAAUUUAACAGUGCUAUAAGCCUUAAACACAUCAGAGUUUCACUUUGCAAUCGAACAGUAAGUGAGACUCACGCUUUUCUUAAUGAAAAAAUAUUAAGUACGACUAGUGAAUCUUCACGUGUAAGGCUUGGUUCAAUAUCAUGUCUCCUAGACGAGCUUCUGGUAUUUGGCUGCAUGGAAUUCCACGUUGCGUUCGACCAUUAUUCAUCAAAAAAUACCACACUGAACUGCGCGAACGAGAGAAACUGCAAAAAACAAUUCAAGGUGCUGGUUUUGUCUAAGAGUGGAUUGCCCGUAGCAUUGGGCUAUUCCAUUUAAUAUCCGUACCCCCCUGUCGAGGAUACCUGGAAUUCUUCAGGGGUAGAGUGUUUUGAGCUUGGAAUUCUUAAGGGUAAAGGAUUUUGAGUUUGGAAUUCUUCAGGGGUACAGUGUUCUGAGCUUGGAAUUCUUAAGGGGUAAAGGAUUUUGAGUUUGGAAUUCUUCAGGGGUACAGUGUUUUGAGCUUGGAAUUCUUAAGGGGUAAAGGAUUUUGAGUUUGGAAUUCUUCAGGGGUACAGUGUUUUGAGCUUGGAAUUCUUAAGGGGUAAAGGAUUUUGAGUUUGGAAUUCUUCAGGGGUACAGUGUUUUGAGCUUGGAAUUCUUCAGGGGUACAGUGUUUUGAGCUUGGAAUUCUUCAGGGGUACAGUGUUUUGAGUUUGGAAUUCUUCAGGGGUACAGUGUUUUGAGUUUGGAAUUCUUCAGGGGUACAGUGUUUUGAGCUUGGAAUUCUUCAGGGGUACAGUGUUUUGAGCUUGGAAUUCUUCAGGGGUACAGUGUUUUGAGCUUGGAAUUCUUCAGGGGUACAGUGUUUUGAGUUUGGAAUUCUUAAGGGGUAAAUGAUUUUGAGUUUGGAAUUCUUCAGGGGUAGGGUGUUUUGAGCUUGGAAUUCUUCAGGGGUAAAGUGUUUUGAGCUUGGAAUUCUUCAGGGGUAAAGUGUUUUGAGUUUGGAAUUCUUCAGGGGUAAAGGAUUUUGAGCUUGGAAUUCUUCAGGGGUAAAGAGGUUUGAGAUCGAAAUUUUUCAGAGUUUGGAAUUCUUCAGGGGUAAAGUGUUUUGAGCUUGGAAUUCUUCAGGGGUACAGUGUUUUGAGGUUGGAAUUCUUCAGGGGUAGGGUGUUUUGAGUUUGGAAUUCUUCAGGGGUAGAGUGUUUUGAGCUUGGAAUUCUUCAGGGGUAAAGAGGUUUGAGAUCGAAAUCUUCAGGGGUUCAGUGUUUUGAGCUUGGAAUUCUUCAGGGGUAAAGGAUUUUGAGUUUGGAAUUCUUCAGGGGUAGAGUGUUUUGAGCUUGGAAUUCUUCAGGGGUAAAGGAUUUUGAGCUUGGAAUUCUUCAGGGGUAUAACUAUGAAAAACAUGUAUCCUCGACAGGGGGGGUACGGAUAUUAAAUGGAAUAGCCCAUUAUAAAACAAUA
Paramuricea clavata is the source of this 1864-nucleotide non-coding RNA. Lineage: Eukaryota; Metazoa; Cnidaria; Anthozoa; Malacalcyonacea; Plexauridae. The record is from the annotation of a GenBank genome assembly.